UUUAACAGUAUACCAUUUAUUUUUAUAAACUAUCUGUGAGUUAGGGAGUGAGAAGCAUUCAUAGCCUCUCCUUCUCUAUUUCUUUGGAUAGGUAAGUAGUAACCAAGCGGUGCAAUGGGAGUCAUGGUGCAUAUGCAAAGGCUGCAUCAAUGGGAAGAUGUAAACUAGAGCUCACGGAUGACUUAAACCCUCAUCCAGCCCCCUCACCUUACAGAUAAGGAAACUGAGGCUAAGAGUAGAUGCCGUAGCUGAUUUAACAGCCACAAAGCUAAUUUGCCCCAGGGUUGGGAGCAAAUCGACAUCCUCUGACCCUCAGUCCGGGGUCCUCUCAAUUACAUUGCAUUCUCCCUCCUAUUAAGGAGAGAUCCCCUAUAAAUCAUGCUCAUGUUAGUAGGAUUGUGCUUCAGAGCCAAGGCAAGAAGCCAAGGCAGGCACAGUGUAAACUGCCAACUGCAGAAGAUGAUGGAGUCAGCCUUUGGGCUAUUUGCCCCAGGUGUCUAUCUACAGGGCCCUAAAUCACCACUAUAAAUGUAACCAAAGGGGAAAAUUAUAUUUACCAAGAAGAAGACUGAAUGGGAUUUCAAAAGAUAUUUUGAUAGGCAUCCUAAGAGUGUACAGACAAAAGGGAAGCCCUUGUGGAGUAUGUGCCCAAACUUAACAGGUGGCUAGACUGCCUUCCAAAGUGUGUGGCUGUGGCUAAUUGCAGGAGCUCAUUCGGCUGAUGGAGGCCAGAGUUCAGGCCUGCGCUGGGAGUCCCCUUUUCUGCCCUGUCUUGUGCACCAGUCAACUUCUGCUACAAAUAAAAGAAUCAACAUCUUAGGGUUGAAAGGAACUCGAAUAGUGAUCU
Molecule: long non-coding RNA, 847 nt
Filed under: Homo sapiens (human)
Lineage: Eukaryota; Metazoa; Chordata; Mammalia; Primates; Hominidae
Description: HSALNT0250144
Source: RNAcentral